AGAGCAGCGGACUGGUGAGUAACGCGUGGGUAAUCUGCCUUGGGCAUGGGGAUAGCCAUUAGAAAUAGUGGGUAAUACCGAAUACGUUCCACGGGGGGAGUGCUCGUGGAAGAAAGGGUGCUAGGGCACUGGCCUGAGAUGAGCUCGCGUCCCAUUAGCUAGUUGGUGAGGUAAAGGCCCACCAAGGCGAUGAUGGGUAGCCGGCCUGAGAGGGUGUACGGCCACACUGGUACUGAGAUACGGCCCAGACUCCUACGGGAGGCAGCAGCUAAGAAUAUUCCGCAGUGGAGGGGGGUCUGACGGAGCGACGCCGCGUGGAUGACGAAGGCCGAAAGGUUGUAAAGUUCUUUUGCUGGG
Molecule: ribosomal RNA, 357 nt
Filed under: uncultured Treponema sp.
Lineage: Bacteria; Pseudomonadati; Spirochaetota; Spirochaetia; Treponematales; Treponemataceae
Description: bacterial SSU rRNA
Rfam family: Bacterial small subunit ribosomal RNA
Source: RNAcentral